CCUACGGGGGGCUGCAGUGGGGAAUAUUGGACAAUGGGCGAAAGCCUGAUCCAGCCAUGCCGCGUGUGUGAAGAAGGCCUUCGGGUUGUAAAGCACUUUCAGUGGGGAAGAAAGCCUUGGGGCUAAUACCCUCGAGGAAGGACAUCACCCACAGAAGAAGCACCGGCUAACUCCGUGCCAGCAGCCGCGGUAAUACGGAGGGUGCGAGCGUUAAUCGGAAUUACUGGGCGUAAAGCGCGCGUAGGCGGUCUGAUAAGCCGGUUGUGAAAGCCCCGGGCUCAACCUGGGAACGGCAUCCGGAACUGUCAGGCUAGAGUGCAGGAGAGGAAGGUAGAAUUCCCGGUGUAGCGGUGAAAUGCGUAGAGAUCGGGAGGAAUACCAGUUGCGAAGGCGGCCUUCUGGACUGACACUGACGCUGAGGUGCGAAAGCGUGGGUAGCAAACAGGAUUAGAUACCCCGGGUAGUC
This 466-nucleotide ribosomal RNA is filed under the name Vreelandella stevensii. RNAcentral's name for it is "partial 16S ribosomal RNA". It matches the Rfam family "Bacterial small subunit ribosomal RNA", at positions 338 to 795 of the family's 1533-position model. Lineage: Bacteria; Pseudomonadati; Pseudomonadota; Gammaproteobacteria; Oceanospirillales; Halomonadaceae. The record is from RNAcentral.